AGAGUUUGAUCAUGGCUCAGAACGAACGUUAGCGGCGCGCCUAACACAUGCAAGUCGAACGCGACAGGGGCAACUCUGUUGAGUGGCGCACGGGUGAGUAACACGUAGGUAAUCUCCCCUCGAGUGGUGGAUAACCUUCCGAAAGGAGGGCUAAUACAGCAUAAGACCACGGUGUCGAAAGACGCUGAGGUCAAAGCGGAGGAUCGCAAGACUUCGCGCUUGAGGAUGAGCCUGCGGCCCAUCAGGUAGUUGGCGGGGUAAUGGCCCACCAAGCCUAAGACGGGUAGCUGGUCUGAGAGGAUGAUCAGCCACACUGGAACUGAGACACGGUCCAGACUCCUACGGGAGGCAGCAGUGGGGAAUCUUGCGCAAUGGACGAAAGUCUGACGCAGCGACGCCGCGUGGGUGAUGAAGGCCUUCGGGUUGUAAAGCCCUGUGGGGAGGGACGAAUAAGUUCCGGUUAAUACCCGGAGCGAUGACGGUACCUCCUUAGCAAGCACCGGCUAACUCUGUGCCAGCAGCCGCGGUAAGACAGAGGGUGCAAACGUUGUUCGGAAUUACUGGGCGUAAAGCGCGUGUAGGCGGCUAUGCAAGUCGGAUGUGAAAGCCCUCGGCUCAACCGGGGAAGUGCACCCGAAACUGCAAAGCUAGAGUCUCGGAGAGGAUCGUGGAAUUCUCGGUGUAGAGGUGAAAUUCGUAGAUAUCGAGAGGAACACCGGUGGCGAAGGCGGCGAUCUGGACGAUGACUGACGCUGAGACGCGAAAGCGUGGGGAGCAAACAGGAUUAGAUACCCUAGUAGUCC
This 803-nucleotide ribosomal RNA is filed under the name uncultured bacterium. Its description in RNAcentral is "bacterial SSU rRNA". It matches the Rfam family "Bacterial small subunit ribosomal RNA", at positions 8 to 796 of the family's 1533-position model. The record is from RNAcentral.